RNAcentral lists this ribosomal RNA (477 nucleotides) under uncultured bacterium. RNAcentral's name for it is "partial 16S ribosomal RNA". It matches the Rfam family "Bacterial small subunit ribosomal RNA", at positions 29 to 507 of the family's 1533-position model. The record is from RNAcentral.
ACGAACGCUGGCGGCGUGCUUAACACAUGCAAGUCGAACGGGAUUUAGUAGACAGAAGCCUCGGCUAAAGAUUACUAAUGAGAGUGGCGAACGGGUGAGUAACGCGUGAGCAACCUGCCUAUGACAGUGGGAUAGCCUCGGGAAACCGGGAUUAAUACCGCAUAAAAUCGUAGAAACACAUGUUUCAACGGUCAAAGAUUUAUCGGUCAUAGAUGGGCUCGCGUCUGAUUAGCUAGUUGGUGAGAUAACAGCCCACCAAGGCGACGAUCAGUAGCCGGUCUGAGAGGAUGAACGGCCACAUUGGAACUGAGACACGGUCCAAACUCCUACGGGAGGCAGCAGUGGGGAAUAUUGCACAAUGGGGGAAACCCUGAUGCAGCGACGCCGCGUGAACGAAGAAGGUAUUCGUAUCGUAAAGUUCUGUCCUAUGGGAAGAUAAUGACAGUACCAUAGAAGAAAGCUCCGGCUAAAUACGUG